UACAGAGGUCUCAAGCGUUGUUCGGAUUCAUUGGGCGUAAAGGGUGCGUAGGUGGUGGGGUAAGUCGGAUGUGAAAUCCCGGGGCUCAACCCCGGAACUGCAUUCGAUACUGCCUUGCUUGAGGACUGGAGAGGAGACUGGAAUUUACGGUGUAGCGGUGAAAUGCGUAGAUAUCGUAAGGAAGACCAGUGGCGAAGGCGGGUCUCUGGACAGUUCCUGACGCUGAGGCACGAAGGUCAGGGGAGCAAACGGG
This 253-nucleotide ribosomal RNA is filed under the name uncultured bacterium. RNAcentral's name for it is "partial 16S ribosomal RNA". It matches the Rfam family "Bacterial small subunit ribosomal RNA", at positions 524 to 776 of the family's 1533-position model. The record is from RNAcentral.